GGUAAGUACACGUGGGUUCCUCCCUACCAAACCGGGAAUAUCGCUUGGAAACCAUGUGCUUAUACCUUAUUGGCUCUUCCAGCGCAUGCUUUGAGAGGGAAAGAAGCUAGUCCUGUCGCUGUCAGAUGGGCCCACUCCCCAUUAGCUAGUUGGUGAGGUAACGGCUCACCAAGUCUUCGAUGCGUACCCCCCCCUGAGAGGGUGACCGGCCACACUGGGACUGAGGCGCGGCCCAGACUCCUACGGUAGGCAGCAGUACUGGAAUCUUCCGCAAUGGGCGCAAGCCUGACGGAGCAACACCGCGUGAGUGAUGAAGGCCUUCGGGUUGUAAAACUCUGUCUUCUGUGAAGAACAAGCCUGUGAGUGAAAGCUCAGGCCUU
RNAcentral lists this ribosomal RNA (380 nucleotides) under uncultured bacterium. Its description in RNAcentral is "bacterial SSU rRNA". It matches the Rfam family "Bacterial small subunit ribosomal RNA", at positions 105 to 476 of the family's 1533-position model. The record is from RNAcentral.